This 329-nucleotide ribosomal RNA is filed under the name uncultured eukaryote. RNAcentral's name for it is "partial 18S ribosomal RNA". It matches the Rfam family "Eukaryotic small subunit ribosomal RNA", at positions 1470 to 1796 of the family's 1831-position model. The record is from RNAcentral.
CCCUUAGAUGUUCUGGGCCGCACGCGCGCUACACUGAUGAAUUCAACGAGUUUUCCACCUUGACCGAGAGGUCCGGGAAAUCUUUUCAACUUUCAUCGUGCUGGGGAUAGAUUAUUGCAAUUAUUGAUCUUGAACGAGGAAUUCCUAGUAAGCGCGAGUCAUCAGCUCGCGUUGAUUACGUCCCUGCCCUUUGUACACACCGCCCGUCGCUCCUACCGAUUGAAUGGUCCGGUGAAGCGUUCGGACCGUGGCCUUUGGACGGUUCGCCGUCUGUUGGCUGCGGGAAGUUCGUUAAACCUUAUCAUUUAGAGGAAGGAGAANUCGUANCA